This 403-nucleotide transfer-messenger RNA is filed under the name bacterium. RNAcentral's name for it is "JACPWU01 sp016196885 Standard tmRNA". It matches the Rfam family "transfer-messenger RNA". From Rfam's summary of the family: Bacterial tmRNA, also known as 10Sa RNA or SsrA, is named for its dual tRNA and mRNA-like properties. Its role is to liberate the mRNA from a stalled ribosome. RNAcentral also lists the same sequence under 1 other name. The record is from RNAcentral.
GGGGGUGUUCCGGUUUCGACUGGGGCGUGGACUCGAGAGUGGCAUGCAGAGGUGGCUGGGAGGCCUCUUAAAACACCUAGCAAACGUUACGUGCCAAAACAACGAAAGUUGUCUCAUUUGAGAAGCUGAACACGGUUCAGUUCGCUCCUCAGAUGUUGGCAUUGGCAGCUUAGUCUGCCACGUCUAUCAAGCUAAUGCCUGCGAAGCUUGAAUAGACGACCACUAGCGGGCUGGUCAGCGAUGGAGAUGGCGCAUGGCUGAUGAGGAGACCACACGCCAACUGGUCCUUUGGGAAUUCUGACUGCUGAAGUCUCAAAGGAUGACGAUAAAAAACAGCCUAAGCAUGUAGAGGCUCUCGUCAAAAUACUCUAGGACGCGGGUUCGAUUCCCGCCACCUCCAUUU